UGACCUCGGAUCAGACGUGAUUACCCGCUGAAUUUAAGCAUAUUAUUAAGCGGAGGAAAAGAAACUAACAAGGAUUCCCCUAGUAACGGCGAGUGAACGGGGAAGAGCCCAACACCGAAUCCCUUGGCGCAAGUCAACGGGAAAUGUGGUGUUAAGGUAGCCCUUCGUGUCAGUCUAGGCGUCUCAAGUCCACCUGAUUGUGGCUCAAGCCCAGAGAGGGUGUAAGGCCCGUAGAGACGCUCCGACUGAUUCCUGGGGUUUACCUACGAGUCGGCUUGUUUGGGAAUGCAGGCCAAAGCGGGUGGUAAACUCCAUCCAAGGCUAAAUACUGGCACGAGUCCGAUAGCGGACAAGUACCGUGAGGGAAAGUUGAAAAGAACUUUGAAGAGAGAGUUCAAUAGUACGUGAAACCGCUUAGAGGCAAACGGAUGGUGCUCAUACUGGCCUGAGGAAUUCAACUGUGACGGUGGCUGGACGAGCUGGCGUUCCGAUCUCUCUUUUGGGACGGGCGUCGGUUUGGCUAUCAGCUCCGACAUGGUGCACUUUCCUUGGUGCCUCCGCCACGACCGACGACACUGGCUACCCGCGGCUGGGUAAGGUGACAAACUGCUUCGGCAAUUUGUGUUAUAGACCCCGGCGUCGGACAUGGUUUGGCCAGGACGUCGAGCUUGCGGCGCCCGCUCCUUGUGGGCUCGCAUGUUGGCUAGCUUGGCUGCGCCGAUGCUUGCACUGGACAACCAGUACAGGUGACGGUUGUGGUCUUGUCUCUAGUUGGCCUCUGCGAGUUUGGCGCCUAUAGUCUGUGGUGUACUUGUGGGUAGACUAUCCGACCCGUCUUGAAACACGGACCAAGGAGUCUAACAUGUGCGCGAGUCAUGGGGAUUCUACGAAACCCAAAGGCGCAGUGAAAGUAAAGGCCUGCUUCUCGUAGGCUGAGGUGGGAUCUCGUGCAUCGCGAUUGGCGAGCGCACCACCGGCCCCGUCCUAUCUGUCUCUGUCAGUGGGGCGGCGCAAGAGCGUACACGUUGGGACCCGAAAGAUGGUGAACUAUGCUUGCGCAGCUCGAAGUCAGUGGAAACACUGAUGGAGGAGCGCAGCGUUUCUGACGUGCAAAUCGAUCGUCAAACGUGAGUAUAGGGGCGAAAGACUAAUCGAACCAUCUAGUAGCUGGUUCCCUCCGAAGUUUCCCUCAGGAUAGCUGGCACUCGGAAACAGUUUUAUCCGGUAAAGCGAAUGAUUAGAGGCAUUGGGGUCGAAACGACCUCGACCUAUUCUCAAACUUUAAAUGGGUAAGAUGCUCGUCUCGCUUAAUUGGAGGCGGGCUUCACCUCUCUAUAAACGUGAAUGUGAGUGCCCAGUGGGCCAUUUUUGGUAAAGCAGAACUGGCGCUGUGGGAUGAACCAAACGCGCGGUUAAGGCGCCCAAUGCGGACGCUCAUGAGACACCACAAAAGGUGUUGGUCGAUACUGACAGCAGGACGGUGGCCAUGGAAGUCGGAACCCGCUAAGGAGUGUGUAACAACUCACCUGCCGAAUCAACCAGCCCUGAAAAUGGAUGGCGCGCUGGAGCGUCGGGCCUAUACCGUGCCGUUGGGGCGAAGCAGACAAAUAAUCUGUGUGGAUGUCCCAACGAGUAGGAGGGUCGCCGUGGUGAGCGCAGAAGGUGCGGCCGUGAGGCCGGCUGGAGCCGCCACGGGCGCAGAUCUUGGUGGUAGUAGCAAUUACUCAAGUGAGAACCUUGAGGACUGAAGUGGAGAAGGGUUCCAUGUGAACAGCAGUUGAACAUG
Molecule: non-coding RNA, 1786 nt
Organism: Macrostomum lignano
Lineage: Eukaryota; Metazoa; Platyhelminthes; Macrostomidae
Source: Rfam